GCGGUUAUAGCUUAAUAGGUAUAGUAGUGAACUGUGGAUUCAAAGAGUGUGGGUUCAAAUCCCAUUAAUCGCC
This 73-nucleotide transfer RNA is filed under the name Paravannella minima. RNAcentral describes it as "tRNA-His". It matches the Rfam family "tRNA". Rfam says of the family: Transfer RNA (tRNA) molecules are approximately 80 nucleotides in length. Their secondary structure includes four short double-helical elements and three loops (D, anti-codon, and T loops). Further hydrogen bonds mediate the characteristic L-shaped molecular structure. tRNAs have two regions of fundamental functional importance: the anti-codon, which is responsible for specific mRNA codon recognition, and the 3' end, to which the tRNAs corresponding amino acid is attached (by aminoacyl-tRNA synthetases). tRNAs cope with the degeneracy of the genetic code in two manners: having more than one tRNA (with a specific anti-codon) for a particular amino acid; and 'wobble' base-pairing, i.e. permitting non-standard base-pairing at the 3rd anti-codon position. The record is from RNAcentral. Lineage: Eukaryota; Discosea; Flabellinia; Vannellidae.